This 433-nucleotide ribosomal RNA is filed under the name uncultured bacterium. Its description in RNAcentral is "partial 16S ribosomal RNA". It matches the Rfam family "Bacterial small subunit ribosomal RNA", at positions 29 to 507 of the family's 1533-position model. The record is from RNAcentral.
AACGAACGCUGGCGGCAUGCCUAACACAUGCAAGUCGAACGAGACCUUCGGGUCUAGUGGCGCACGGGUGCGUAACGCGUGGGAACCUGCCCUUAGGUUCGGAAUAACUCCCCGAAAGGGGUGCUAAUACCGGAUAAUGUCUUCGGACCAAAGAUUUAUCGCCUUUGGAUGGGCCCGCGUUGGAUUAGCUAGUUGGUAGGGUAAAAGCCUACCAAGGCGACGAUCCAUAGCUGGUCUGAGAGGAUGAUCAGCCACACUGGGAAUGAGACACGGCCCAGACUCCGACGGGAGGCAGCAGUGGGGAAUAUUGGACAAUGGGCGAAAGCCUGAUACAGCAAUGCCGCGUGAGUGAUGAAGGCCUUAGGGUUGUAAAGCUCUUUUACCCGGGAUGAUAAUGACAGUACCGGGAGAAUAAGCUCCGGCUAACUCCGUG